AUAAAGUUCAUCUCAAGGAGGCAGCCAAAUGUUCUUAAAUUUAAGAUUAAACCAGGCCCCGAGGCAGGUGGUGCAGAUGCGAGGACAAAAAGAAUAUCAUCAUUCCUAUUCCAUCCCUUCUUGCCCCUGGCACUUUCUAUUCAGCAGACUUUUAUGCAACCCACUGUUGUGAAUAUCCAUUUCCGGAGAUGAAGAAAAAAUCCUCCCAACUUUCUUUUUAUUAAUGUGUGCAAG
This 234-nucleotide unclassified non-coding RNA is filed under the name Hevea brasiliensis (rubber tree). Lineage: Eukaryota; Viridiplantae; Streptophyta; Magnoliopsida; Malpighiales; Euphorbiaceae. The record is from RNAcentral.